Long non-coding RNA from Nicotiana tabacum (common tobacco), 1183 nucleotides. RefSeq lists it as uncharacterized. The record is from RefSeq and is a predicted model, not a curated record. Lineage: Eukaryota; Viridiplantae; Streptophyta; Magnoliopsida; Solanales; Solanaceae.
AUUUUCUUGGAAAAUACCUUAUAUAGUUAUAUCUUACCAGGAUUAAAGAAAUAUUUUGAGCACAAGUUAAAUGUUUUGUCCUACAAAUAUUUUACCGGAAAAAAACCCGAAAAACCUGAAUAACCCGAAAACCCGAUAUUGAAAAACCCGAGUUUUAUUGGUUUGGUCUUUAAAUUAAAUAACCCGACACAAUUGGUUUGGUUUGGUAAUUGCAAAAUUCGAACCAACCCGACCUAUGUAGCCCUAGGUGGCACAACCGGACAGGACUUGGUCCUUUAGCUCUUGUACUACAACCUGGAGGUAGAUCAGGAGAGAUUAAGGUCAAGGAAUGCACUCAGGACAGUAGAUGGAACUCCAACAAAUUGUCUAAGAUAGUCCAUCCUAAAUGCAAAGUCACAUAGAACAGAUUCAUGUCUCUCGCACUUAUGCAGACGAUCAAUGUUAUUGGAUCUUAGUUCUGAUGGAUAGUUCAUUUGUUCUUCUGCUAGAGAGAUCGGACAGAAAUAAAAAUGACACAUUUUCUAGGCUAUGGCACAAAGGAAUUCCUUUUAAAGCUUUCCUCUGUUGGAGUAUUCUGAAGAAAAAAUUUCAUUUGGAUGAUACUUUAUCUAGAUUUAGUCAAAAUAUUAUUUCCAAAUGCACUUGCUGUAGGUCCCCUCGAUCAGAAACCACCUCUCACUUAUUGAAAAUGUGACAAUUAAGAGUGUGGACCUAGUUUGCAAAUGCCAUGGGCAUCAGGUUGGAUUCUAACUAGAUUAGAACCCUUCUUGGAGCUGGUGGGUGCAUCAGUACAACAAUUCAUGCAAGAUCCUUCCUAUUUUCGUUACAUAGGAACUAUGGAAGAGAAAGUGUGCUUGUCAGAUGGAGGCUUUUCAUGGAGAGAGAAGCAAGCAGGAGCGAGAGGCGUAAUGAGAGGGAAGAUGGCUCAAUGGUGCUUGCCUUCUCAGAAAAGCUCAACUACUACACUAACAACAUGGCAUUAAGUCUAGCCUGCACUAAUUGACUUGAGAUACAAUCAUUUUAUGGGCUUAUACUAUGUCAUACUGGAGAUGGAUUCAAAGAUCAUAAUUGACAUGAUGGAUGGGGUACACAAACCUUCAUGGAAGCUUCAGCACUAGAUUAGCAAUAUUCAAGAAUGUCUUUGCAGUCCAUUGCUUUAAAUAUAGUAGCUGAUAUUCCAUCA